Molecule: signal recognition particle RNA, 265 nt
Filed under: Clostridia bacterium
Lineage: Bacteria; Bacillati; Bacillota; Clostridia
Description: signal recognition particle sRNA large type
Rfam family: Bacterial large signal recognition particle RNA
About the family: The signal recognition particle (SRP) is a universally conserved ribonucleoprotein involved in the co-translational targeting of proteins to membranes. Archaeal SRP consists of a 7S RNA and homologues of the eukaryotic SRP19 and SRP54 proteins.
Source: RNAcentral
CCGCACUAACCGGGGAGUUAGCGGUGCCUUGUUGCCUGCAAUCCGCUGUAGCAGGGGUGAUAUGCUUCUACGAGGGUUCAGCUGUGUGGCUGCGCCUAUUCCGAAAACGUUGAUGAGUGGGUCUUGCGCGAUCGAAAGCUGUGAACCAUGUCAGGUGGGGGACCAAGCAGCAUUAAGCAGUGUCUUCGAUGUGUUGUAAGGUUGCCUGUUCGGAGUUGGACGAUAGGUUAACGCGCGUGGUUUGAAUUCAACAGAAGAUGUGCGG